Molecule: unclassified non-coding RNA, 392 nt
Filed under: Hevea brasiliensis (rubber tree)
Lineage: Eukaryota; Viridiplantae; Streptophyta; Magnoliopsida; Malpighiales; Euphorbiaceae
Source: RNAcentral
ACUCGCUCAUGAAUCCCAACUAAUUGAGCUUUUGCCUCCAAUACAGCACCAGUAGGCAAAUCUUUCUUCUCCUUGCGAUUCCUACGGCCCCCAUGCCCUCCUCGCGGCUGAUCGAUAUCUUUCGGUGCAGCGUACUCCUCAACCGAAUUAUUCAGAAACUCCGGCGGUCCUGAAACUUCGGAGAAAGCGUCGAAAGCAGAAGGCAGGUCGGGAUGAGAGGAAGGCUGCGGAAGUUCGAAAAGUGACUUGUCACGUAUGGAAAGAUUGACGGUAACCGUAGAGGCGGCGGUGGCGGCAAGAUCUUCGUCGUCAUCAUCGGAAGAGGUGUGGUUGAAGACAGAGUUGUCUUCAGCUUCUUCUUCGGCUGAAGAAUAGCCUUGGAGAAGUGCCAG